This 542-nucleotide long non-coding RNA is filed under the name Homo sapiens (human). RNAcentral's name for it is "non-protein coding LINC01088:33". Lineage: Eukaryota; Metazoa; Chordata; Mammalia; Primates; Hominidae. The record is from RNAcentral.
ACUGGGAUGCUGCCUUGCACUUAGGGAAGGUUCACAUGCCUCAAGGAUCUCUCUCUCUCAGAUUUCUUGACUUUCCCUCAGUCUUCAGUAUAGUCCUCCUCUGUGCCUGGUGAAGACCUGUGGUAAAGUGCUGGCAGAGCUGCCGGCUUCCCCUUGAAGGAAUAGGAGUAGACCUGCUGAACUAUCACAUGAGAGAAGAGGCCCAAAAGCUUGCACACUACAGUCAAGCUGGCCCUUAAAGAGAUGGACCUAGAAGAUGCUGAGCCAGAUGUACUCAAUUACUUCUCCAAAAUUCAUCAAUUAGGAAUACAACAUGUUUAAGACCACAGAACAUCUGCAUAGGCUGUAAAUUUCGUUGAAUGAUGGAUGCAAAGAUGGAAGACAGAUGGAUAGAGGAAAAGACAGAAUCAGAUACUGGAUGAGUUAGUACUGCUGCCUGUGCUUCAGAGCUGUCUUAUUACCACAAGGCCGGCAAGCAUCAAUGUCCCCACAUCCCCCUCUGCCUCCCCCUGAAAUGUACCGAUUUAUAUGAAAAUUAAGAU